UCGACCGUACUUUACAGGAUCAUGUAUAUAGUACGUUUCCCGUCUUUGUUUUCCAAACAAGACACAUUUACUAAGUUGGAAGAUGAUACAUAGCACCGGUUCAUAGCGGGAAGUGGUGACUACAUUUGUUUUUUAAAUGAAUGUUUUCACUUUGAAGAUCGUGCCUAUCAAACUUUUCCAUUGAUACGGCAAGGACUUGGUUGCUUUCUGACAACU
This is a small nucleolar RNA of Piromyces finnis, 216 nucleotides long. It matches the Rfam family "Small nucleolar RNA U3". From Rfam's summary of the family: Small nucleolar RNAs (snoRNAs) are involved in the processing and modification of rRNA in the nucleolus. The record is from Rfam. Lineage: Eukaryota; Fungi; Neocallimastigomycota; Neocallimastigomycetes; Neocallimastigales; Neocallimastigaceae.